CUCGGCAACGGAUAUCUCGGCUCUCGCAUCGAUGAAGAACGUAGCAAAUGCGAUACUUGGUGUGAAUUGCAGAAUCCCGUGAACCAUCGAGUCUUUGAACGCAAGUUGCGCCCGAAGCCAUUAGGCUGAGGGCACGUCUGCCUGGGCGUCACGC
This 154-nucleotide ribosomal RNA is filed under the name Origanum majorana. RNAcentral describes it as "5.8S". It matches the Rfam family "5.8S ribosomal RNA". Rfam says of the family: 5.8S ribosomal RNA (5.8S rRNA) is a component of the large subunit of the eukaryotic ribosome. Lineage: Eukaryota; Viridiplantae; Streptophyta; Magnoliopsida; Lamiales; Lamiaceae. The record is from RNAcentral.